GAGUGAAAUAGAACCUGAAACCGUGUGCUUACAAGUAGUCAGAGCCCGUUAAUGGGUGAUGGCGUGCCUUUUGUAGAAUGAACCGGCGAGUUACGAUUUGAUGCAAGGUUAAGCAGUAAAUGUGGAGCCGUAGCGAAAGCGAGUCUGAAUAGGGCGUUUAGUAUUUGGUCGUAGACCCGAAACCAGGUGAUCUACCCUUGGUCAGGUUGAAGUUCAGGUAACACUGAAUGGAGGACCGAACCGACUUACGUUGAAAAGUGAGCGGAUGAACUGAGGGUAGCGGAGAAAUUCCAAUCGAACCUGGAGAUAGCUGGUUCUCUCCGAAAUAGCUUUAGGGCUAGCCUCAAGUGAUGAUUAUUGGAGGUAGAGCACUGUUUGGACGAGGGGCCCCUCUCGGGUUACCGAAUUCAGACAAACUCCGAAUGCCAAUUAAUUUAACUUGGGAGUCAGAACAUGGGUGAUAAGGUCCGUGUUCGAAAGGGAAACAGCCCAGACCACCAGCUAAGGUCCCAAAAUAUAUGUUAAGUGGAAAAGGAUGUGGCGUUGCCCAGACAACUAGGAUGUUGGCUUAGAAGCAGCCAUCAUUUAAAGAGUGCGUAAUAGCUCACUAGUCGAGUGACACUGCGCCGAAAAUGUACCGGGGCUAAACAUAUUACCGAAGCUGUGGAUUGUCCUUUGGACAAUGGUAGGAGAGCGUUCUAAGGGCGUUGAAGCAUGAUCGUAAGGACAUGUGGAGCGCUUAGAAGUGAGAAUGCCGGUGUGAGUAGCGAAAGACGGGUGAGAAUCCCGUCCACCGAUUGACUAAGGUUUCCAGAGGAAGGCUCGUCCGCUCUGGGUUAGUCGGGUCCUAAGCUGAGGCCGACAGGCGUAGGCGAUGGAUAACAGGUUGAUAUUCCUGUACCACCUAUAAUCGUUUUAAUCGAUGGGGGGACGCAGUAGGAUAGGCGAAGCGUGCGAUUGGAUUGCACGUCUAAGCAGUAAGGCUGAGUAUUAGGCAAAUCCGGUACUCGUUAAGGCUGAGCUGUGAUGGGGAGAAGACAUUGAGUCUUCGAGUCGUUGAUUUCACACUGCCGAGAAAAGCCUCUAGAUAGAAAAUAGGUGCCCGUACCGCAAACCGACACAGGUAGUCAAGAUGAGAAUUCUAAGGUGAGCGAGCGAACUCUCGUUAAGGAACUCGGCAAAAUGACCCCGUAACUUCGGGAGAAGGGGUGCUCUUUAGGGUUAACGCCCAGAAGAGCCGCAGUGAAUAGGCCCAAGCGACUGUUUAUCAAAAACACAGGUCUCUGCUAAACCGUAAGGUGAUGUAUAGGGGCUGACGCCUGCCCGGUGCUGGAAGGUUAAGAGGAGUGGUUAGCUUCUGCGAAGCUACGAAUCGAAGCCCCAGUAAACGGCGGCCGUAACUAUAACGGUCCUAAGGUAGCGAAAUUCCUUGUCGGGUAAGUUCCGACCCGCACGAAAGGCGUAACGAUUUGGGCACUGUCUCAACGAGAGACUCGGUGAAAUCAUAGUACCUGUGAAGAUGCAGGUUACCCGCGACAGGACGGAAAGACCCCGUGGAGCUUUACUGUAGCCUGAUAUUGAAAUUCGGCACAGCUUGUACAGGAUAGGUAGG
RNAcentral lists this ribosomal RNA (1612 nucleotides) under Staphylococcus aureus M0961. RNAcentral's name for it is "bacterial LSU rRNA". It matches the Rfam family "Bacterial large subunit ribosomal RNA", at positions 536 to 2151 of the family's 2925-position model. Lineage: Bacteria; Bacillati; Bacillota; Bacilli; Caryophanales; Staphylococcaceae. The record is from RNAcentral.